AGGUGGGACCACCGCGCUACUGCCGCCAGGCAAAUUCUGUUAUCAGACCGUUUUUACGUUCUGAUGUAAUCUGAAUCAGUGCUGAAAAUCGUCUCUCAUCCNNNNNNNNNNNNNNNNNNNNGAAUCAGUGCUGAAAAUCGUCUCUCAUCCGCCAAAACAUCUUCGGCGUUGUAAGGUUAAGCCUCACGGUUCAUUAGUACCGGUUAGCUCAACGCAUCGCUGCGCUUACACACCCGGCCUAUCAACGUCGUCGUCUUCAACGUUCCUUCAGGAGACCUAAAGUCUCAGGGAGAACUCAUCUCGGGGCAAGUUUCGUGCUUAGAUGCUUUCAGCACUUAUCUCUUCCGCAUUUAGCUACCGGGCAGUGCCAUUGGCAUGACAACCCGAACACCAGUGAUGCGUCCACUCCGGUCCUCUCGUACUAGGAGCAGCCCCCCUCAGUUCUCCAGCGCCCACGGCAGAUAGGGACCGAACUGUCUCACGACGUUCUAAACCCAGCUCGCGUACCACUUUAAAUGGCGAACAGCCAUACCCUUGGGACCUACUUCAGCCCCAGGAUGUGAUGAGCCGACAUCGAGGUGCCAAACACCGCCGUCGAUAUGAACUCUUGGGCGGUAUCAGCCUGUUAUCCCCGGAGUACCUUUUAUCCGUUGAGCGAUGGCCCUUCCAUUCAGAACCACCGGAUCACUAUGACCUGCUUUCGCACCUGCUCGCGCCGUCACGCUCGCAGUCAAGCUGGCUUAUGCCAUUGCACUAACCUCCUGAUGUCCGACCAGGAUUAGCCAACCUUCGUGCUCCUCCGUUACUCUUUAGGAGGAGACCGCCCCAGUCAAACUACCCACCAGACACUGUCCGCAACCCGGGUAACGGGUCCACGUUAGAACAUCAAACAUUAAAGGGUGGUAUUUCAAGGUCGGCUCCAUGCAGACUGGCGUCCACACUUCAAAGCCUCCCACCUAUCCUACACAUCAAGGCUCAAUGUUCAGUGUCAAGCUAUAGUAAAGGUUCACGGGGUCUUUCCGUCUUGCCGCGGGUACACUGCAUCUUCACAGCGAGUUCAAUUUCACUGAGUCUCGGGUGGAGACAGCCUGGCCAUCAUUACGCCAUUCGUGCAGGUCGGAACUUACCCGACAAGGAAUUUCGCUACCUUAGGACCGUUAUAGUUACGGCCGCCGUUUACCGGGGCUUCGAUCAGGAGCUUCGCUUGCGCUGACCCCAUCAAUUAACCUUCCGGCACCGGGCAGGCGUCACACCGUAUACGUCCACUUUCGUGUUUGCACAGUGCUGUGUUUUUAAUAAACAGUUGCAGCCAGCUGGUAUCUUCGACUGACUUCAGCUCCAUGAGUAAAUCACUUCACCUACGUGUCAGCGUGCCUUCUCCCGAAGUUACGGCACCAUUUUGCCUAGUUCCUUCACCCGAGUUCUCUCAAGCGCCUUGGUAUUCUCUACCUGACCACCUGUGUCGGUUUGGGGUACGAUUUGAUGUUACCUGAUGCUUAGAGGCUUUUCCUGGAAGCAGGGCAUUUGUUGCUUCAGCACCGUAGUGCCUCGUCGUCACGCCUCAGUGUUAAAGUGAACCGGAUUUACCUGGAACACACACCUACACGCUUAAACCGGGACAACCGUCGCCCGGCCAACAUAG
RNAcentral lists this ribosomal RNA (1642 nucleotides) under Salmonella enterica subsp. enterica serovar Paratyphi A. RNAcentral's name for it is "23S ribosomal RNA". The record is from RNAcentral. Lineage: Bacteria; Pseudomonadati; Pseudomonadota; Gammaproteobacteria; Enterobacterales; Enterobacteriaceae.